Molecule: small nucleolar RNA, 134 nt
Organism: Cavia aperea (Brazilian guinea pig)
Lineage: Eukaryota; Metazoa; Chordata; Mammalia; Rodentia; Caviidae
Source: Ensembl
CUGGCCCUGAAUCAAGGCCGGCAGCUUUCUGGCGCUGUUGGUUUUAAGCAAGAGCCUAAAGAUGUAUUUCUAUGGUCUGUUGGCCAUUUCAGAAUUGGGCAGUAAAAUGCUCAAUUCAUUAGAAAGAAACAGCU